CUCCCUUUCUCCCUCCCCUGGCCUCUGCACUCCCGCCCAGUCUGUCCCGCCGGGUGCCGGCGGCGGGGUCCACUCGGCUCCGUGCGUGCUCUUUUUCAUUUCAUAGGUGGAAGGCGGGCCUAGAAAGCCUCCAGGCCCGGCGGGAUGGCCCCAGGGCGCCUUUCGCUGGUCCUGCCAGGCUCGGGAAGCCACCGACGUGCGGUCGCGCAGUGUCUGGUCCAGCCGUUAGAUGACUAGGAUAGGCCCUAGAAGGGCUGGAAAGUCAUCAUGAUCUCCAGGCCCAAACUGCACUAUCCAAAAGGAAGAGGAGCAUGGAAUCCGUGAGAUAGGCGCUAGCUGCUGCCCGAGUAGAGAUCUCAUCUGUGUAUGCAUUUCUGAAAUUUGUUCAACACUCACACAGUUGGAAUUCCUCACAUCUGUAUAAAAAGGUGAAAUUAGAUGAGAAUGCUCCCGUCUGGCACAACGUUACUAGAACCCGACAUUUGUUUCUCCGUAAGCCAUAUCAAAUAGAAACAAAUAUAUAUGGAUCAAAAACAUUGGAACAGUGAGAAAAAGAGCCUUUUCACUUUACUUCAUAGUUCAGGCAUUUUGUCCCAACAGAGGAAUUUCUGUCAUACAAAACCUUUGUGAAUUCAUGUCUGUGAUCAUCUGCUUUAUUACAUUUUAGAAGGCGCAUAUACAUGCAAGCACGCAUUUAUGUUAUCUGAUUCCUAAAUUUUAUCCAGAGUCUCCCAUGUUUGCUCCUUUCUUUCAAUGUAAAGGAAAAUCCAAAUCCAUGUGGUCAGUUGUCCCACAAAGUGGUCGUGAGGUAAAAGAAAAAAAGUGACUAUUUUAAAAUAUAUCGGUAUUCAUAAAUUAGGAUUACAAUGAUAUUGCCAGGUAAUUUGCAUUAUAUUUAUCAUAAUUUUUCUAAUACAACAUAAAUCUCUAAUAAAGAGAUCAUGCAAAUUACUUGACAAUAAAUCCCUGAGGAACAGAUCCCUGGAAAAAGAACAAUCCACUGACUUAUCCAAAUUUGAAAGGAUAUCCUUGUAUUAGCCUUCACUCAUCAUCAGCUGAAAUAAGGUGUGAGAGUUUCUAUUUGGAGAAGAUAAUAUUUUUCAUACAACUUCCAUAUUAUAUCAUUAAAUAUAUGUUUUGCUUAUUAAAACAAAUCAAGUUAUAUGCAGUUUUGAAAUUGUUUUAAAAUGAAUUCAAAGCAGUCAUAUCAAAAUGCAGAUUAAAAAAACUAAAGAAACAGGAUUUGUUUAAAUUAAUAGACAACUUGGAUGCCAUUACACACCAUUUCCAAAAAGCAACACUAAAAUUUUAAUAUAUUGAUGAUGAACAUACAAAUGUAUUUGUAACAUUUUGCAAAUUAUUUUUCCCUUUUCUGUCUUCAUUUAGUUUUUGCACAUAAGUUGUAUUAAUCAAUUGCAACAGUACCUACUGAAAUAUUUAUUCACAAUUCAAUGAAUUUGCCAUGUAUUCAUCUCAUUAGUGAUCAGCUCAAAAUCUACUUCAUUUCAGGUAUUCAGCAUUGAGUGUUUUGAAUUAGCAGAGGAAUGAAGAUGAGCAAUCCUACUUUACACUGAAGGGCAUUCUUAGUGCUACUCAAUAAAAAAAAAAAAAGAAGCUAAAGAACCAUUUGAUUUCAUCCAUGAAUUUGGGAUGAGGCAUUAAUAAUUCAUAGUACAGCUAAUACUAAUGAUGCCUUGAGGAUAUACCAUGAAUUCAGCAACUCUCUUGAGGCGAAUAUUACAAACAAAUGUCACUUGAUCCCUUUAAAGCAAAAUAGAUUGAAUUUAUUUCCAUAUUAAACUAAUAGUGUAGUCUUCAGAAAGAUACAGUACUGGGAAUACAACUAAGUUUCAUGAAGAUAUGGUUCUACCUACCCAUAUCAAUAUACAUUUUUGAGUAAAUAUAAUAAUGUAGAAUAAUGUCUUACGUAGUAGCUCAUUUCUUUUUCAUCAUUAAUACUCUGGUUUGCCACAGAAUGUCUUCAAUCUUUAUCACUAUCUGCCAUUUUCAAAGACCUAGACUACAAUGUAACAGGAUAGUGUAAUGUUAAAGUCACAAAUCUUGUAAGAUUAAUUUUAACUUUUCUCUAAUAUUUACUGUUUUUAUCACAUCAUGUAAUACUGAAAACAUCUAACCAUUCUGCAUAUUCAGCAUGAAAUUAAUGUACUUGAUAGAUUAGUCUCCUCCCUGAGCCACUGGAAAUGAUUGGUUUCUAAUAAUCAGAAUUCUCCCUUUCCUUAACUGUAGUAGA
Molecule: long non-coding RNA, 2251 nt
Organism: Nannospalax galili (Upper Galilee mountains blind mole rat)
Lineage: Eukaryota; Metazoa; Chordata; Mammalia; Rodentia; Spalacidae
Exons: 4
Source: RefSeq, a predicted model, not a curated record